AGUAGGAUAAGUGGGUCAAAUGGUGGUUCCAUUCCAAUUGUUCUAAGGAAUCUCCAUAGUGCUUUCCAGAGUGGUUGUACCAGUUUGCAGUCCCACCAGUAAU
This 103-nucleotide microRNA precursor is filed under the name Marmota monax (woodchuck). Lineage: Eukaryota; Metazoa; Chordata; Mammalia; Rodentia; Sciuridae. The record is from RNAcentral.